AUUGUUCGCAAUGGGCGCAAGCCUGACGACGCAACGCCGCGUGGAGGAUGAAGAUCUUCGGGUCGUAAACUCCUUUCGAUCGAGACGAAUUCCUCCGGGGUGAACAAUCCCGGAGGUUGACGGUACCGGGUGAGGAAGCACCGGCUAACUCCGUGCCAGCAGCCGCGGUAAUACGGGGGGUGCGAGCGUUGUCCGGAAUCACUGGGCGUAAAGGGCGCGUAGGUGGCCACCAUAAGGCCGCGGUGAAAGUCUGGGGCUCAACUCCAGAUCGGCCGCGGCGACUGUGGGGCUUGGGCACUGUAGAGGCAGAUGGAAUUCCGGGUGUAGCGGUGGAAUGCGUAGAGAUCCGGAAGAACACCGGUGGCGAAGGCGGUCUGCUGGGCAGUGAGCUCGCAAGGGCUCAAUAGCCGACACUGAGGCGCGACAGCGUGGGGAGCAAAC
Molecule: ribosomal RNA, 441 nt
Filed under: uncultured bacterium
Lineage: Bacteria
Description: bacterial SSU rRNA
Rfam family: Bacterial small subunit ribosomal RNA
Source: RNAcentral